RNAcentral lists this ribosomal RNA (475 nucleotides) under uncultured soil bacterium. Its description in RNAcentral is "bacterial SSU rRNA". It matches the Rfam family "Bacterial small subunit ribosomal RNA", at positions 26 to 517 of the family's 1533-position model. The record is from RNAcentral.
AGGACGAACGCUGGCGGCACGCUUAACACAUGCAAGUCGAACGAGGUCCAUCCACUCGCAAGAGUGGUGAAGACCUAGUGGCGAACGGGUGAGUAACACGUGAGAAACCUGCCCCGAAGACCGGGAUAACUCACCGAAAGGUGAGCUAAUACCGGAUGCCUUCACGACGUCUCAUGGCGAUGUGAAGAAAUGGAUUCCGCUUUGGGAGGGUCUCGCGGCCUAUCAGCUAGUUGGUGAGGUAACGGCUCACCAAGGCGACGACGGGUAGCUGUUCUGAGAGGAAGAUCAGCCACACUGGGACUGAGACACGGCCCAGACUCCUACGGGAGGCAGCAGUGGGGAAUCUUGCGCAAUGGGCGAAAGCCUGACGCAGCGAUGCCGCGUGCGGAAGACGGCCUUCGGUUGUAACCGCUUUCAGCAGGACGAAAUGACGACUGCAGAAGAAGCUCCGGCCAACUACGUAGCCAGCGAGCCG